ACUGAUGAUGCCUACUUCCCUCCGUAUAAAUGCAACAACCGAAACACAUUUUCAUGCAAAAUAAGACGACAGAAUUGCGCUCUCUGUAUCUCUCUCGCCUCAAGUUCUCUCCUCUUCUCUGGCUCAGUGUGUCCUGAGGCCUAUUCGUUUCUCGGGGAAAUGGAAAAACAGUGCGUCAACGAUAUUGAAGCCCCGAAGAUGUCGGUCCUCAAUUGUAUUGAUCUCUCCAAUCCUGACAUUAACCAAUCCGUUUCAUUGCUCAAACAGGCGUGCUUGGAUUCGGGAUUUUUCUACGUUGUAAACCACGGGAUGAGCGAGGAAUUCAUGGACAAGGUUUUCGCACAGAGCAGAAGAUUGUUCUGUCUGCCAUUGAACGAGAAAAUGAAGCUUUUAAGGAACGAGAAACAUAGAGGCUACACCCCUGUUCUUGACGAGAUUUUGGACUCUGAAAACCAAGCUCACGUAGGAGAUUACAAGGAGGGAUAUUACAUAGGAGUGGAAGUCCCUGAAGACGACCCAGAAGCGGAAAAACCAUUUUAUGGGCAAAAUGUUUGGCCUGCACCAGGACUAUUGCCUGGAUGGAGGGAGACAAUGGAGAAGUUUCAUCAAGAAGCUUUGGAGAUCGCAAUAGCAGUUGCUAGGAUAAUUGCUCUUGCACUUGACCUGGAAUCUGAGUUCUUUGACAAGCCAGAUAUGCUUGGCAAGUCUAUUGCAACCUUGCGCUUACUACACUAUGAAGGUCAAAUGUCUGAUCCCUCAAAGGGAAUAUAUGGAGCUGGAGCCCAUUCUGACUUUGGUUUGAUUACUCUCUUAGCAACAGAUGAUGUCUUAGGUCUCCAAAUAUGCAAGGAUAAGGAUGCUAAACCUCAGAUAUGGGAAUAUGUACCACCACUAAAAGGAGCAUUUGUAGUAAAUCUUGGUGACAUGCUGGAGCGUUGGAGCAACUGUGUUUUCAAGUCGACGUUGCACAGAGUUCUUGUGAAUGAUCAAGAGAGAUAUUCUAUUGCAUAUUUUGUGGAACCUUGUCAUGAUUGUCUUGUCGAGUGCUUGCCAACCUGCAAAUCAGAAAAUAACCCUCCAAACGAAUGGGCAAUGGGCUGUGGGUUUGUCUGAGGAUUUAAAAGAAAGGAACAAGGAAAUAAACCUGGGUAAACAAAAACCUCUGAAUCGCCAAUCUCAGGGUUUCCUCCAAUCUUAUGUCAGACUUACCUUAGCCAACGCUAUAAGGAUACUCAUGCUGAUCUGAGUAGAUACAACAAAACUGAAGCGUAAUUAUUCCACCAGAAUAUGCUUUGGGAGAUCUACAAACCUGAACAGCCAGCAAAUAAUUCUACUGAAACAAGUUAAAAGCAUAUAGCCAGACCAGUAGAGGUUCUUUCUAUACAAGUUUUGCAUAUUUAUACGGAUAAGGGUUGAUCAUCAUCCAGAGAUCAUACAACCUUUUCUACAUGUUUAUAUUUUUCUAAGCAGCUCGAAUGGUGUAGCAAGCUUUGUAUGAUGGUGUUCCUCUGCCAUAAAUGAGGGUAAAUAAAUAAAUUCGGGGUACAAUCCUCUAUAGAAAAUGGUGUGUUGAGCUUUCAUCAGUCCUCUGAGAUGUUUUUCCUUCGGUUAAAAUCAUGGGGUGGGUUGGCUAAGCAGAGCACCAGUUGAUAAGAUCUUGAGUGAGCCAGUCGGAUGUAUAUGGCAAGGCCAUUUUAGGGUUCAGUGGGCCAUUUACUAGAGAUAUGGAUUGAUAAAAAAUUGAUGUAUAUAGUUAAUUUUUAAGAAAUAUGAGACGAAAGAGGUGUAUGACUCCUUUAUUUCUUC
Carya illinoinensis is the source of this 1806-nucleotide RNA transcript. It is a transcript of the gene named 2-oxoglutarate-Fe(II) type oxidoreductase hxnY-like, with no coding region annotated. The transcript is spliced from 12 exons. The record is from RefSeq and is a predicted model, not a curated record. NCBI's taxonomy places the organism in Eukaryota, Viridiplantae, Streptophyta, Magnoliopsida, Fagales, Juglandaceae.